Molecule: long non-coding RNA, 7080 nt
Filed under: Lathyrus oleraceus (garden pea)
Lineage: Eukaryota; Viridiplantae; Streptophyta; Magnoliopsida; Fabales; Fabaceae
Description: Pisum sativum (pea) long non-coding RNA (PSAT_LNC040926)
Source: RNAcentral
UAUUUUCCUUUUUUUUCUUUCUUUUAUGAGUCAUUUUCUUUCUUAUCUAUCAAAUGUACAGAUCAAGUGAUUUCUGAUAUAGGUUGAUCCUUUGAAGGUUACACAUCUCUAACUUGUUUAUUUUGUCACUCUAUUCAUCUGUGUAUCCUCUUAUUUUCAAUUUUAUUCUUGCCUCACCAAGGAUUAUGAUCGGGUUUUUUGUAUUGUUUUGAUGAGAUUGAGAUGUUUGUUAGGAUUAUGAGGAUCUCACAAUAAUAAAGGUGAUGCUAAUGUAACCCUGGUAAAAUGAUUGAGUUGGUUGCCUUUAUACCACAUGAUCUCAUUUUCAUUUUCUUAUAAUUAUUCUGUUUUCUUUUUUCUUUUUCAUUUUCUACUUAUAGAUAGUAUUUUAGCAUAUUUUUUAAUCUGUAUAACUUAUGUUAAUUGUUUAAUUAUCAGAAUAUAGAAGAUAACAUUCUAUGUUCUUUAGGACAUAAGUAUAUAUUUAAUUAAUUUUGAUGUUCAAUACAUAUCUUUCUAAACUAUUUAAUGUCAAGCUUUGUUAAUCAUUACAUGUUCGAUUGAUUUAUAUAAGUGAGGAUGUACUUAAUAGAAAUAUUUAACUUACACUAUUUAAUAGAAAUCUCUUGUUCAUGAUCACUUUAUGAUUGUAUAAACAAAAUACAAAGGGUAAAAAAAUACGUACACUUGAUAAAUUGUCAUAUUUUCCUUUUUUUUCUUUCUUUUCUGAGUCAUUUUCUUUCUUAUCUAUCAAAUGUACAGAUCAAGUGAUUUCUGAUAUAGGUUGAUCUUUUGAAGGUUACACAUCUCUAACUUGUUUAUUUUGUCACUCUAUUCAUCUGUGUUUCCUCUUAUUUUCAAUUUUAUUCUUGCCUCACCAAUGAUUAUGAUCGGGUUUUUUGUAUUGUUUUGAUGAGAUUGAGAUGUUUGUUAGGAUUAUGAGGAUCUCACAAUAAUAAAGGUGAUGCUAAUGUAACACUGGAAAAAUGAUUGAGUUGGUUUCCUUUAUACCACAUGAUCUCAUGUUCAUUUUCUUAUAAUUAUUCUUUUUUCUUUUUUCUUUUUCAUUUUUUACUUGUAAUUAGUAUUUUAACAUAUUUUUUUAUCUGUAUAACUUAUGUUAAUUGUUUAAUUAUCAGAAUAUAGAAGAUGACAUUGUAUGUUCUUUAGGAUAUAAGUAUAUAUUUAAUUAAUUUUAAUGUUCAAUACAUAUCUUUCUAACUAUUUAAUGUCAAGGUUUCUUAAUCAUUACAUGUUCGAUUGAUUUAUAUAAGUGAGGAUGUACUUAAAAGAAAUAUUUAGCUUACACUAUUUAAUAGAAAUCUCUUGUUCAUGAUCACUUUAUGAUUGUAUAAACAAAAUACAAAGUGUAAAAAAUACGUACACUUGAUAAAUUGUCAUAUUUUCCUUUUUUUUCUAUCUUUUAUGAGUCAUUUUCUUUCUAAUCUAUCAAAUGUACAGAUCAAGUGAUUUCUGAUAUAGGUUGAUCCUUUGAAGGUUACACAUCUCUAACUUGUUUAUUUUGUCACUCUAUUCAUCUGUGUAUCCUCUUAUUUUCAAUUUUAUUCUUUCCUCACCAAUGAUUAUGAUCGGGUUUUUUGUAUUGUUUUAUUGAGAUUGAGAUGUUUGUUAGGAUUAUGAGGAUCUCACAGUAAUAAAGGUGAUGCUAUUGUAACACUGGAAAAAUGAUUGAGUUGGUUUCCUUUAUACGACACGAUCUCAUUUUCAUUUUCUUAUAAUUAUUCUGUUUUCUUGUUUUCUUUUUCAUUUUCUACUUAUAAUUAGUAUUUUUGCAUAUUUUUUAAUCUGUAUAACUUAUGUUAAUUGUUUAAUUAUCAGAAUAUAGAAGAUGACAUUGUAUGUUCUUUAGGAUAUAAGUAUAUAUUUAAUUAAUUUUGAUGUUCAAUACAUAUCUUUCUAAACUAUUUAAUGUCAAGGUUUGUUAAUCAUUACAUGUUCGAUUGAUUUAUAUAAGUGAGGAUGUACUUAAUAGAAAUAUUUAGCUUACACUAUUUAAUAGAAAUCUCUUGUUCAUGAUCACUUUAUGAUUGUAUAAACAAAAUACAAAGGGUAAAAAAAUACGUACACUUGAUAAAUUGUCAUAUUUUCCUUUUUUUUCUUUCUUUUAUGAGUCAUUUUCUUUCUUAUCUAUCAAAUGUACAGAUCAAGUGAUUUCUGAUAUAGGUUGAUCUUUUGAAGGUUACACAUCUCUAACUUGUUUAUUUUGUCACUCUAUUCAUCUGUGUUUCCUCUUAUUUUCAAUUUUAUUCUUGCCUCACCAAUGAUUAUGAUCGGGUUUUUUGUAUUGUUUUGAUGAGAUUGAGAUGUUUGUUAGGAUUAUGAGGAUCUCACAAUAAUAAAGGUGAUGCUAAUGUAACACUGGAAAAAUGAUUGAGUUGGUUUCCUUUAUACCACACGAUCUCAUUUUCAUUUUCUUAUAAUUAUUCUGUUUUCUUUUUUUCUUUUUCAUUUUCUACUUAUAAUUAGUAUUUUAGCAUAUUUUUUAAUCUGUAUAACUUAUGUUAAUUGUUUAAUUAUCAGAAUAUAGAAGAUGACAUUGUAUGUUCUUUAGGAUAUAAGUAUAUAUUUAAUUAAUUUUGAUGUUCAAUACAUAUCUUUCUAAACUAUUUAAUGUCAAGGUUUGUUAAUCAUUACAUGUUCGAUUGAUUUAUAUAAGUGAGGAUGUACUUAAUAGAAAUAUUUAGCUUACACUAUUUAAUAGAAAUCUCUUGUUCAUGAUCACUUUAUGAUUGUAUAAACAAAAUACAAAGGGUAAAAAAAUACGUACACUUGAUAAAUUGUCAUAUUUUCCUUUUUUUUCUUUCUUUUAUGAGUCAUUUUCUUUCUUAUCUAUCAAAUGUACAGAUCAAGUGAUUUCUGAUAUAGGUUGAUCUUUUGAAGGUUACACAUCUCUAACUUGUUUAUUUUGUCACUCUAUUCAUCUGUGUUUCCUCUUAUUUUCAAUUUUAUUCUUGCCUCACCAAUGAUUAUGAUCGGGUUUUUUGUAUUGUUUUGAUGAGAUUGAGAUGUUUGUUAGGAUUAUGAGGAUCUCACAAUAAUAAAGGUGAUGCUAAUGUAACACUGGAAAAAUGAUUGAGUUGGUUUCCUUUAUACCACACGAUCUCAUUUUCAUUUUCUUAUAAUUAUUCUGUUUUCUUUUUUUCUUUUUCAUUUUCUACUUAUAAUUAGUAUUUUAGCAUAUUUUUUAAUCUGUAUAACUUAUGUUAAUUGUUUAAUUAUCAGAAUAUAGAAGAUGACAUUGUAUGUUCUUUAGGAUAUAAGUAUAUAUUUAAUUAAUUUUGAUGUUCAAUACAUAUCUUUCUAAACUAUUUAAUGUCAAGGUUUGUUAAUCAUUACAUGUUCGAUUGAUUUAUAUAAGUGAGGAUGUACUUAAUAGAAAUAUUUAGCUUACACUAUUUAAUAGAAAUCUCUUGUUCAUGAUCACUUUAUGAUUGUAUAAACAAAAUACAAAGGGUAAAAAAAUACGUACACUUGAUAAAUUGUCAUAUUUUCCUUUUUUUUCUUUCUUUUAUGAGUCAUUUUCUUUCUUAUCUAUCAAAUGUACAGAUCAAGUGAUUUCUGAUAUAGGUUGAUCUUUUGAAGGUUACACAUCUCUAACUUGUUUAUUUUGUCACUCUAUUCAUCUGUGUUUCCUCUUAUUUUCAAUUUUAUUCUUGCCUCACCAAUGAUUAUGAUCGGGUUUUUUGUAUUGUUUUGAUGAGAUUGAGAUGUUUGUUAGGAUUAUGAGGAUCUCACAAUAAUAAAGGUGAUGCUAAUGUAACACUGGAAAAAUGAUUGAGUUGGUUUCCUUUAUACCACACGAUCUCAUUUUCAUUUUCUUAUAAUUAUUCUGUUUUCUUUUUUUCUUUUUCAUUUUCUACUUAUAAUUAGUAUUUUAGCAUAUUUUUUAAUCUGUAUAACUUAUGUUAAUUGUUUAAUUAUCAGAAUAUAGAAGAUGACAUUGUAUGUUCUUUAGGAUAUAAGUAUAUAUUUAAUUAAUUUUGAUGUUCAAUACAUAUCUUUCUAAACUAUUUAAUGUCAAGGUUUGUUAAUCAUUACAUGUUCGAUUGAUUUAUAUAAGUGAGGAUGUACUUAAUAGAAAUAUUUAGCUUACACUAUUUAAUAGAAAUCUCUUGUUCAUGAUCACUUUAUGAUUGUAUAAACAAAAUACAAAGGGUAAAAAAAUACGUACACUUGAUAAAUUGUCAUAUUUUCCUUUUUUUUCUUUCUUUUAUGAGUCAUUUUCUUUCUUAUCUAUCAAAUGUACAGAUCAAGUGAUUUCUGAUAUAGGUUGAUCUUUUGAAGGUUACACAUCUCUAACUUGUUUAUUUUGUCACUCUAUUCAUCUGUGUUUCCUCUUAUUUUCAAUUUUAUUCUUGCCUCACCAAUGAUUAUGAUCGGGUUUUUUGUAUUGUUUUGAUGAGAUUGAGAUGUUUGUUAGGAUUAUGAGGAUCUCACAAUAAUAAAGGUGAUGCUAAUGUAACACUGGAAAAAUGAUUGAGUUGGUUUCCUUUAUACCACACGAUCUCAUUUUCAUUUUCUUAUAAUUAUUCUGUUUUCUUUUUUUCUUUUUCAUUUUCUACUUAUAAUUAGUAUUUUAGCAUAUUUUUUAAUCUGUAUAACUUAUGUUAAUUGUUUAAUUAUCAGAAUAUAGAAGAUGACAUUGUAUGUUCUUUAGGAUAUAAGUAUAUAUUUAAUUAAUUUUGAUGUUCAAUACAUAUCUUUCUAAACUAUUUAAUGUCAAGGUUUGUUAAUCAUUACAUGUUCGAUUGAUUUAUAUAAGUGAGGAUGUACUUAAUAGAAAUAUUUAGCUUACACUAUUUAAUAGAAAUCUCUUGUUCAUGAUCACUUUAUGAUUGUAUAAACAAAAUACAAAGGGUAAAAAAAUACGUACACUUGAUAAAUUGUCAUAUUUUCCUUUUUUUUCUUUCUUUUAUGAGUCAUUUUCUUUCUUAUCUAUCAAAUGUACAGAUCAAGUGAUUUCUGAUAUAGGUUGAUCUUUUGAAGGUUACACAUCUCUAACUUGUUUAUUUUGUCACUCUAUUCAUCUGUGUUUCCUCUUAUUUUCAAUUUUAUUCUUGCCUCACCAAUGAUUAUGAUCGGGUUUUUUGUAUUGUUUUGAUGAGAUUGAGAUGUUUGUUAGGAUUAUGAGGAUCUCACAAUAAUAAAGGUGAUGCUAAUGUAACACUGGAAAAAUGAUUGAGUUGGUUUCCUUUAUACCACACGAUCUCAUUUUCAUUUUCUUAUAAUUAUUCUGUUUUCUUUUUUUCUUUUUCAUUUUCUACUUAUAAUUAGUAUUUUAGCAUAUUUUUUAAUCUGUAUAACUUAUGUUAAUUGUUUAAUUAUCAGAAUAUAGAAGAUGACAUUGUAUGUUCUUUAGGAUAUAAGUAUAUAUUUAAUUAAUUUUGAUGUUCAAUACAUAUCUUUCUAAACUAUUUAAUGUCAAGGUUUGUUAAUCAUUACAUGUUCGAUUGAUUUAUAUAAGUGAGGAUGUACUUAAUAGAAAUAUUUAGCUUACACUAUUUAAUAGAAAUCUCUUGUUCAUGAUCACUUUAUGAUUGUAUAAACAAAAUACAAAGGGUAAAAAAAUACGUACACUUGAUAAAUUGUCAUAUUUUCCUUUUUUUUCUUUCUUUUAUGAGUCAUUUUCUUUCUUAUCUAUCAAAUGUACAGAUCAAGUGAUUUCUGAUAUAGGUUGAUCUUUUGAAGGUUACACAUCUCUAACUUGUUUAUUUUGUCACUCUAUUCAUCUGUGUUUCCUCUUAUUUUCAAUUUUAUUCUUGCCUCACCAAUGAUUAUGAUCGGGUUUUUUGUAUUGUUUUGAUGAGAUUGAGAUGUUUGUUAGGAUUAUGAGGAUCUCACAAUAAUAAAGGUGAUGCUAAUGUAACACUGGAAAAAUGAUUGAGUUGGUUUCCUUUAUACCACACGAUCUCAUUUUCAUUUUCUUAUAAUUAUUCUGUUUUCUUUUUUUCUUUUUCAUUUUCUACUUAUAAUUAGUAUUUUAGCAUAUUUUUUAAUCUGUAUAACUUAUGUUAAUUGUUUAAUUAUCAGAAUAUAGAAGAUGACAUUGUAUGUUCUUUAGGAUAUAAGUAUAUAUUUAAUUAAUUUUGAUGUUCAAUACAUAUCUUUCUAAACUAUUUAAUGUCAAGGUUUGUUAAUCAUUACAUGUUCGAUUGAUUUAUAUAAGUGAGGAUGUACUUAAUAGAAAUAUUUAGCUUACACUAUUUAAUAGAAAUCUCUUGUUCAUGAUCACUUUAUGAUUGUAUAAACAAAAUACAAAUGUAAAAAAAAUACGUACACUUGAUAAAUUGUCAUAUUUUCCUUUUUUUCUUUCUUUUAUGAGUCAUUUUCUUUAUGAUCUAUCAAAUGUAAAGAUCAAGUGAUUUCUGAUAUAGGUUGGUCUUUUGAAGGUUACACAUCUCUAACUUGUUUAUUUUGUCACUCUAUUCAUCUGUGUAUCCUCUUAUUUUCAAUUUUAUUCUUGCCUCACCAAUGAUUAUGAUCGGGUUUUUUGUAUUGUUUUGAUGAGAUUGAGAUGUUUGUAAGGAUUAUGAGGAUCUCACAAUAAUAAAGGUGAUGCUAAUGUAACCCUGGAAAAAUGAUUGAGUUGGUUUGCUUUAUACCACACGAUCUCAUUUUCAUUUUCUUAUAAUUAUUCUUUUUUCUUUUUUCUUUUUCAUUUUCUACUUAUAAUUAGAAUUUUAGCAUAUUUUUUAAUCUGUAUAACUUAUGUUAAUUGUUUAAUUAUCAGAAUAUAGAAGAUGACAUUGUAUGUUCUUUAGGAUAUAAGUAUAUAUUUAAUUAAUUUUAAUGUUCAAUACAUAUCUUUCUAAACUAUUUAAUGUCAAGGUUUGUUAAUCAUUACAUGUUCGAUUGAUUGAUAUAAUUGAGGAUGUACUUAAUAGAAAUAUUGAGCUUACACUAUUUAAUAGAAAUCUCUUGUUCAUGAUCACUUUAUGAUUGUAUAAACAAAAUACAAAGGGUAAAAAAAUACGUACACUUGAUAAAUUGUCAUAUUUUCCUUUUUUUUUCUUUCUUUUCUGAGUCAUUUUCUUUCUUAUCUAUCAAAUAUACAGAUCA